UACGUAGGGUGCGAGCGUUAAUCGGAAUUACUGGGCGUAAAGCGUGCGCAGGCGGUUGUGCAAGACAGAUGUGAAAUCCCCGGGCUUAACCUGGGAACUGCAUUUGUGACUGCACGGCUGGAGUGCGGCAGAGGGGGAUGGAAUUCCGCGUGUAGCAGUGAAAUGCGUAGAUAUGCGGAGGAACGCCGAUGGCGAAGGCAAUCCCCUGGGCCUGCACUGACGCUCAUGCACGAAAGCGUGGGGAGCAAACAGG
This 253-nucleotide ribosomal RNA is filed under the name uncultured bacterium. Its description in RNAcentral is "partial 16S ribosomal RNA". It matches the Rfam family "Bacterial small subunit ribosomal RNA", at positions 524 to 776 of the family's 1533-position model. The record is from RNAcentral.